AUGAGGGAAAUCGUGCAUAUCCAGACCAGUCAGUGUGGCAACCAGAUCGGUGCCAAGUUCUGGGAGGUAAUCAGUGAUGAACACGGCGUCGAUCCCACCGGAACAUACCACGGUGACAGCAACCUGCAGCUGGAUCGCAUCUCUGUGUACUACAAUGAAGCUAUCAGGUGGCAAAUAUGUUCCUCGUGCUAUCUUGGUGGAUCUAGAACCCGGGACCAUGGACUCUGUUCGCGCAGGUCCUUUUGGGCAGAUAUUCAGACCAGACAACUUUGUUUUCAGUCAGUCUGGGGCAGGCAACAACAAAGGGCCACUAUACAGAGGGGGCUGAGCUGGUUGACUCAGUCCUGGAUGUGGUGAGGAAGGAGGCUGAGAGCUGUGACUGCCUGCAGGGCUUCCAGCUGACCCACUCGCUGGGUGGGGGUACAGGCUCUGGAAUGGGCACCUUGCUCAUCAGCAAGAUCCGAGAAGAGUAUCCUGACCGUAUCAUGAACACCUUCAGUGUGGUACCCUCACCCAAAGUGUCUGACACGGUGGUCGAGCCCUACAACGCCACCCUCUCCGUCCAUCAGCUGGUAGAGAACACGGAUGAGACCUACUGCAUUGACAAUGAGGCCCUGUAUGACAUCUGCUUCCGUACUCUCAAGCUGACCACGCCAACCUACAGGGACCUGAACCACCUCAUCUCAGCCACCAUGAGCGGUGUCACCACCUGCCUCCGCUUCCCUGGUCAGCUCAAUGCUGACCUCCUCAAGCUAGUCGUCAACAUGGUGCCCUUCCCACAUCUCCACCUCUUCAUGCCCGGCUUUGCACCUCUGACCAGCCAUGGAAGCCAGCAGUAUCGGGCCCUCACUGUGCCCGAACUCACUCAGCAGGUCUUUGAUGCCAAGAACAUGAUGGCCGCCUAUGACCCCCGCCAUGGCCGUUACCUCACCGUGGCUGCUGUCUUCCGUGGGCAGAUGUCCAUGAAGGAGGUAGAUGAGCAGAUGCUUAACGUGCAAAACAAGAAUAGCAGCUACUUCGUGGAAUGGAUCCCCAACAACGUCGAGACAGCACUCUGCGAUAUCCCACCUCGUGGCCUCAAGGUGGCAGUCACCUUCAUCGGCAACAGCAUGGCCAUCCAGGAGCUCUUCAAGCGCAUCUCAGAGCAGUUCACGGCCAUGUUCCGGCACAAGGCCUUCCUCCACUGGUACACAGGUGAGGGCAUGGACGAGAUGGAGUUCACUGAAGCUGAGAGCAACAUGAACGACCUUGUCUCCGAGUACCGGCAGUACCAGGAUGCCACCUCAGAAGAAGAAGAGGAUUUCGGUGAGGAGGCCGAAGAGGAGGCCUAAGGCAGAGCACCAUCACCUCAGGCUUCUCCGUUCCCUCAGCCUUCUUCCUCAGCUGCCCCUGUCCUCUCCCUCAGAACUGCAUUUUCCGCCUCUGUCUCAUUUUAUUUUGUUUUGUUUUCCUUUUUUGGAGGGGGGAUCCUAGAACAGUGCCUGGCGCAUAAUAGGCACUCAAUAAAUAUUUGUUGUUUGUUGAAUGUCUCCUCUCUUCCACUCUGGGAAACCUAGAUUUCUGCCAUUCUGGGUAGCCCUGUAUUUCCUUUUGGUGUCCACUUCUCCCAUCUGUCCAGUUGAUAUUUCCCUUUGUUUUUUAAGAUAAUUCUCCAAGAAGCUGGGUCUCAUCAGAUCCCAUUUAGAACCAUGUGCUGAAAACCCAGUAGAUGGCCACCAUCCUAAGCCCAUGUGGUAGCCCAGGGGAAAGGAA
Molecule: RNA transcript, 1752 nt
Organism: Zalophus californianus (California sea lion)
Lineage: Eukaryota; Metazoa; Chordata; Mammalia; Carnivora; Otariidae
Gene name: tubulin beta chain-like
Exons: 1
Source: RefSeq, a predicted model, not a curated record